This 51-nucleotide transfer RNA is filed under the name Oxyrrhis marina. Its description in RNAcentral is "partial tRNA". The record is from RNAcentral. Lineage: Eukaryota; Dinophyceae; Oxyrrhinales; Oxyrrhinaceae.
CGUGGCCUUGUGGUUAAGAUGCCUGGCUCAUAACCUGAAGGUCGCAGGCUC